RNAcentral lists this ribosomal RNA (437 nucleotides) under Blastocystis sp. subtype 1. RNAcentral's name for it is "SSU rRNA". It matches the Rfam family "Eukaryotic small subunit ribosomal RNA", at positions 505 to 951 of the family's 1831-position model. The record is from RNAcentral. Lineage: Eukaryota; Bigyra; Opalinata; Blastocystidae.
UGCAUUGGAUUGAGAACAAUGUACAACUCUUAUCGAUAAGCCAUUGGAGGGCAAGUCUGGUGCCAGCAGCCGCGGUAAUUCCAGCUCCAAUAGCGUAUAUUAACGUUGUUGCAGUUAAAAAGCUCGUAGUUGAAGUGUGGGUGAUCGCUGUUGUGAGACUUCGGUCUCUCGACAGUAAGUCACCCCCUUCCAGUAUCCAGUAGUGGGUAUUCAGUUACUUACUACUGUGUGUUGGUCCUUUACUGUGAGAAAAUUAGAGUGUUCAAAGCAGGCGUUUGCUUGAAUAGAUUAGCAUGGAAUAAUAAUUGAAGGCUUUCGUGUUCGAUUUGAUUGGUUUGUUCAUGGAAGCAAGGUUAAAAGGAACAGUUGGGGGUAUUCAUAUUCACUAGUUAGAGGUGAAAUUCUCGGAUUUAUGGAAGAUGAACAAGUGCCGAAAG